AGUGAACGCUGGCGGUAGGCCUAACACAUGCAAGUCGAACGGCAGCACAGUAAGAGCUUGCUCUUACGGUUGGCGAGUGGCGGACGGGUGAGGAAUACAUCGGAAUCUACUUUUUCGGGGGGGAUAACGUAGGGAAACUUACGCUAAUACCGCAUACGACCUACGGGUGAAAGCAGGGGAUCUUCGGACCUUGCGCGAUUGAAUGAGCCGAUGGCGGAUUAGCUAGUUGGCGGGGUAAAGGCCCACCAAGGCGACGAUCCGUAGCUGGUCUGAGAGGAUGAUCAGCCACACUGGAACUGAGACACGGUCCAGACUCCUACGGGAGGCAGCAGUGGGGAAUAUUGGACAAUGGGCGCAAGCCUGAUCCAGCCAUACCGCGUGGGUGAAGAAGGCCUUCGGGUUGUAAAGCCCUUUUGUUGGGAAAGAAAAGCAGCAGGUUAAUACCCCGCUGUUCUGACGGUACCCAAAGAAUAAGCACCGGCUAACUUCGUG
RNAcentral lists this ribosomal RNA (492 nucleotides) under uncultured bacterium. RNAcentral describes it as "partial 16S ribosomal RNA". It matches the Rfam family "Bacterial small subunit ribosomal RNA", at positions 29 to 507 of the family's 1533-position model. The record is from RNAcentral.